UAAUGCAUAGGAAUCUGCCCGAUAGUGGGGGAUAACCUGGGGAAACCCAGGCUAAUACCGCAUACGUCCUACGGGAGAAAGGGGGCUCCGGCUCCCGCUAUGGGAUGAGCCUAUGUCGGAUUAGCUAGUUGGUGAGGUAACGGCUCACCAAGGCCACGAUCCGUAGCUGGUCUGAGAGGAUGAUCAGCCACAUCGGGACUGAGACACGGCCCGAACUCCUACGGGAGGCACCAGUGGGGAAUAUUGGACAAUGGGGGCAACCCUGAUCCAGCCAUGCCGCGUGUGUGAAGAAGGCCCUCGGGUUGUAAAGCACUUUCAGCGAGGAAGAACGCCUAGCGGUUAAUACCCGC
This 350-nucleotide ribosomal RNA is filed under the name Vreelandella aquamarina. Its description in RNAcentral is "bacterial SSU rRNA". It matches the Rfam family "Bacterial small subunit ribosomal RNA", at positions 111 to 482 of the family's 1533-position model. The record is from RNAcentral. Lineage: Bacteria; Pseudomonadati; Pseudomonadota; Gammaproteobacteria; Oceanospirillales; Halomonadaceae.